Molecule: ribosomal RNA, 253 nt
Filed under: uncultured bacterium
Lineage: Bacteria
Description: partial 16S ribosomal RNA
Rfam family: Bacterial small subunit ribosomal RNA
Source: RNAcentral
UACGGAGGGGGCUAGCGUUGUUCGGAAUUACUGGGCGUAAAGCGCGCGUAGGCGGACCUGCAAGUCAGGGGUGAAAUCCCGGGGCUCAACCUCGGAACUGCCUUUGAUACUGCAAGUCUCGAGUUCGGGAGAGGUGAGUGGAAUUCCUAGUGUAGAGGUGAAAUUCGUAGAUAUUAGGAAGAACACCAGUGGCGAAGGCGGCUCACUGGCCCGAUACUGACGCUGAGGUGCGAAAGCGUGGGGAGCAAACAGG